RNAcentral lists this ribosomal RNA (254 nucleotides) under uncultured bacterium. Its description in RNAcentral is "partial 16S ribosomal RNA". It matches the Rfam family "Bacterial small subunit ribosomal RNA", at positions 524 to 776 of the family's 1533-position model. The record is from RNAcentral.
UACGUAGGGUGCAAGCGUUGUCCGGAAUUAUUGGGCGUAAAGAGCUCGUAUGCGGUUUGGUAAGUUGGAUGUGAAAUCUCCAGGCUCAACUUGGAGGGGUCAUUCGAUACUGCCAUGACUAGAGUUCGGUAGGGGAGUGUGGAAUUCCUGGUGGAGCGGUGAAAUGCGCAGAUAUCAGGAGGAACACCCGUAGCGAAGGCGGCACUCUGGGCCGGAACUGACGCUGAGGAGCGAAAGCGUGGGGAGCGAACAGG